UACGUAGGGUGCGAGCGUUAAUCGGAAUUACUGGGCGUAAAGCGUGCGCAGGCGGUUUUUUAAGUCAGGCGUGAAAUCCCCGGGCUUAACCUGGGAACUGCGCUUGUGACUGGAAGGCUAGAGUACGGCAGAGGGGGGUGGAAUUCCACGUGUAGCAGUGAAAUGCGUAGAGAUGUGGAGGAACACCGAUGGCGAAGGCAGCCCCCUGGGCCGAUACUGACGCUCAUGCACGAAAGCGUGGGGAGCAAACAGG
Molecule: ribosomal RNA, 253 nt
Filed under: uncultured bacterium
Lineage: Bacteria
Description: partial 16S ribosomal RNA
Rfam family: Bacterial small subunit ribosomal RNA
Source: RNAcentral